Misgurnus anguillicaudatus (oriental weatherfish) is the source of this 457-nucleotide non-coding RNA. NCBI's taxonomy places the organism in Eukaryota, Metazoa, Chordata, Actinopteri, Cypriniformes, Cobitidae. The record is from RefSeq and is a predicted model, not a curated record.
GAUCAUUCCGCGUGUAACAGCUGGAAUCACUCACUGUUUCCCACAACGACACAAGUCAUCAGCCGUUUCCUCAAGGUCACGUCAGAGCGGUGAUGAUGUGGAGAGGCAGAGACCACCACCAUACGCGAAGAUGAGCCUCGAGGCGUGACAGUUAUUUUUUCAAACUGGGGAGUUCAGACUCCGGACCGGCAUUUCUGCUUGUUUGUACCCUGAGGAACCCAAAGGUCCCACACCAACCAUAGUGUUCAACGGCUCUCCUGAUCUUCUCAAAUCUGAAAGUAUCAACUUUAUAAUGGACAAUGUGAACUUAAUAUGUGGAAGACAUUGACAUCACAGGCUGUGGAAUGACUGUGUCACAGGUCGGAGAAGCGGACCGCCCCUGUCGCGGAUCACGCUCCUCCUAGUUCCACCUCGAGGAGGUCCCAAAGCACCCCAAUGACCAGACAAACCAGAGAUA